GACGAACGCUGGCGGCGUGCUUAACACAUGCAAGUCGAACGGAAAGGCCCUGCUUUUGUGGGGUGCUCGAGUGGCGAACGGGCGAGUAACACGUGAGUAACCUGCCCUUGACUUUGGGAUAACUUCAGGAAACUGGGGCUAAUACCGGAUAGGAGCUCCUGCUGCAUGGUGGGGGUUGGAGAGUUUCGGCGGUUGGGGAUGGACUCGCGGCUUAUCAGCUUGUUGGUGGGGUAGUGGCUUACCAAGGCUUUGACGGGUAGCCGGCCUGAGAGGGUGACCGGCCACAUUGGGACUGAGAUACGGCCCAGACUCCUACGGGAGGCAGCAGUGGGGAAUAUUGCACAAUGGGCGGAAGCCUGAUGCAGCAACGCCGCGUGCGGGAUGACGGCCUUCGGGUUGUAAACCGCUUUCGCCUGUGACGAAGCGUGAGUGACGGUAAUGGGUAAAGAAGCACCGGCUAACUACGUGCCAGCAGCCGCGGUGAUACGUAGGGUGCGAGCGUUGUCCGGAUUUAUUGGGCGUAAAGGGCUCGUAGGUGGUUGAUCGCGUCGGAAGUGUAAUCUUGGGGCUUAACCCUGAGCGUGCUUUCGAUACGGGUUGACUUGAGGAAGGUAGGGGAGAAUGGAAUUCCUGGUGGAGCGGUGGAAUGCGCAGAUAUCAGGAGGAACACCAGUGGCGAAGGCGGUUCUCUGGGCCUUUCCUGACGCUGAGGAGCGAAAGCGUGGGGAGCGAACAGGCUUAGAUACCCUGGUAGUCCACGCUGUAAACGGUGGGUACUAGGUGUGGGGUCCAUUCCACGGGUUCCGUGCCGUAGCUAACGCUUUAAGUACCCCGCCUGGGGAGUACGGCCGCAAGGCUAAAACUCAAAGGAAUUGACGGGGCCCCGCACAAGCGGCGGAGCAUGCGGAUUAAUUCGAUGCAACGCGUAGAACCUUACCUGGGUUUGACAUGGAUCGGGAGUGCUCAGAGAUGGGUGUGCCUCUUUUGGGGUCGGUUCACAGGUGGUGCAUGGCUGUCGUCAGCUCGUGUCGUGAGAUGUUGGGUUAAGUCCCGCAACGAGCGCAACCCUUGUUCACUGUUGCCAGCACGUUAUGGUGGGGACUCAGUGGAGACCGCCGGGGUCAACUCGGAGGAAGGUGGGGAUGACGUCAAGUCAUCAUGCCCCUUAUGUCCAGGGCUUCACGCAUGCUACAAUGGCUGGUACAGAGAGUGGCGAGCCUGUGAGGGUGAGCGAAUCUCGGAAAGCCGGUCUCAGUUCGGAUUGGGGUCUGCAACUCGACCUCAUGAAGUCGGAGUCGCUAGUAAUCGCAGAUCAGCAACGCUGCGGUGAAUACGUUCCCGGG
Molecule: ribosomal RNA, 1343 nt
Filed under: uncultured bacterium
Lineage: Bacteria
Description: 16S ribosomal RNA
Rfam family: Bacterial small subunit ribosomal RNA
Source: RNAcentral